CGACGCGGCGCGGGUUGACACAUUCACGCGGGUAUUAUGCGGAGAGAAAUAUAAGGAAAAGCGCUUGCGCUGAGCAACGUGGGUCGGCGCGAAACAAAGUGGGAGUGCAGCGCUUGUGCAGUGCGGCGGAGUGAAAUCUGGUUACCGGGAUUUAACAGCUGCUUGUGCGCUAGAGGAUAUAGAGGGCAAUAAAACCGAGCUAAAUCGUCUCGUCAAUUACGGAUAUACUUACGCAGAAUAACAAUAGUCUCGCCGGUUUACAGCGUCUCUCGCAGAUGCAAAUUGUCAUCCAAAGCUUGCUUAGAACUAUACGUUUCGAGUUGAAAAUAAAUUUAUAUGAAUAAAAUAACAAGAA
Long non-coding RNA from Nasonia vitripennis (jewel wasp), 355 nucleotides. RefSeq lists it as uncharacterized. The record is from RefSeq and is a predicted model, not a curated record. The transcript is spliced from 2 exons. NCBI's taxonomy places the organism in Eukaryota, Metazoa, Arthropoda, Insecta, Hymenoptera, Pteromalidae.